AUAUUUAGUAUUUCGGUCGUCGACAAAGUUUAUUUUAGCUAUGGUCAGCGCCAUUUCAAAUUGCCAUAGUAACGACUGAUGCCAGUGUUUCACAGGCAGUAAUCAGCAAAUUGUCUGUGGUAUUGAGUUUGCAAGUGGAGAGUGAAUGGAAGAGAGUGAGGUUAGGGGCAGACAAUGAAGAUGGCACCAGCAAGUAGUAAUUCAACCAUGAACUGUAUAGCGCCAGCCUGUAGGAAUCGGCUCCAAAAACAAUCCCUCAGUACGUUACUGAACCCCAACUUUUGAAGAAGUGGCUCCAUGUUCUGAAGAGGAAGGACGUGCCAACUCGAACUUGCAGGAUCUGCUGCCAGCACUUUGAGGAGGAAGACUUUGAGAUGAAGGGUACUUUCGAUGCGGCAACUGGGAGUUUUCGAAUGGAAAGGGGUCAUAGGACUACUUUGAAACGCUCUGCUUGCACCUCCAUUUUCAAGGGUUAUGGGGUAGGGGUUACCGACCGACCAUCAUCAACAUCGCAGACUUCGGAGUCUAGCAAAAGCCGGACUGAACGGAGGAGGCGACUCGAGUCAAUGGAGAAACUGAGAAUGACAUCUUCAUGCCUGAAAAGGUUUUCAUCCUGGAGGAGACUGUGCAGGAGGAGACACAGGAGGAAAGAACGGUUAGUACAGCAUGCCAGACUGACCCCUGGGUGCCUGAGUGUUCCUGUGCUGCAGUGGAUCAGAGGUCCACAGGGACCAUCACUAAAGAGCUCGGAGCUCAGCUAGAUUGCGCUCACAACCAUCAGUAUACAACCGAGUCCUGCCCCUAUACGCCACAGAUGGAGCUGACAGAGAGUGAGAACAAUGAAGACCAGACCUCACUGUAUGAACCUGAGAGUUCAGAAACACAAUCAUCACAGUGCCAGCUAUAGUAUCGGAGAUAUAGUAUCGAAGAUAUAGUAUUGAAGCUAUUGUAUCGAAGAUAUAGUAUCGAAUAUAUAGUAUCGAAUAUAAAGUAUCAAAGAUAUAGUAUCAAAUAUAGAGUAUCAAAGAUAUAGUAUCAAAGAUAUAGUAUCGAAUAUAUAGUAUCAAAGAUAUAGUAUCGAAUAUAUAGUAUCGAAUAUAUAGUAUCGAAUAUAUAGUAUCAAAGAUAUAGUAUCGAAUAUAUAGUAUCAAAGAUAUAGUAUCGAAUAUAUAGUAUCAAAGAUAUAGUAUCGAAUAUAUAGUAUUGAAGAUAUAGUAUUGAAGAUAUAGUAUUGAAGAUAUAGUAUCGAAUAUAUAGUAUCAAAGAGUGUGUGCAAGAUCCCAAAUACAUAGUCAUUGAUAGCAAGCUGAAGGAGUUGUUAAAUGUCUGCCAUGAGCCAGGAUGUCGAGCAUGUGUGAUCAGUUCAUCCCUGAAAAUAAAUGGUUUUCCUAUCACCAUG
Long non-coding RNA from Oncorhynchus kisutch (coho salmon), 1399 nucleotides. RefSeq lists it as uncharacterized. NCBI's taxonomy places the organism in Eukaryota, Metazoa, Chordata, Actinopteri, Salmoniformes, Salmonidae. The record is from RefSeq and is a predicted model, not a curated record. The transcript has 3 exons.